UUCCGAAUAACCGACUUAGAAAUC
Molecule: microRNA, 24 nt
Filed under: Glycine max (soybean)
Lineage: Eukaryota; Viridiplantae; Streptophyta; Magnoliopsida; Fabales; Fabaceae
Description: gma-miR4405b
Source: miRBase by way of RNAcentral